GUGAGGAAUUUUCCGCAAUGGGCGAAAGCCUAACGGAGCAAUGCCGCGUGAAGGAUGAAGGCCUAUGGGUUGUAAACUUCUUUUCUCAGAAAAGAAUUAUGACGGUAUCUGAGGAAUAAGCAUCGGCUAACUCUGUGCCAGCAGCCGCGGUAAGACAGAGGAUGCAAGCGUUAUCCGGAAUGAUUGGGCGUAAAGCGUCUGUAGGUUGUUUAAAAAGUAUUCUGUCAAAGAUUAGGGCUUAACCCUAGAUAGGCAGAAUAAACUUUUAAGCUAGAGUUUGGUAGAGGCAGAGGGAAUUCCCGGUGGAGCGGUGAAAUGCGUAGAUAUCGGGAGGAACACCAAAGGCGAAGGCACUCUGCUGGGCCAAUACUAACACUGAGAGACGAAAGCGAGGGGAGCAAAUGGGAUUAGAAACCCCUGUAGUCC
This 426-nucleotide ribosomal RNA is filed under the name uncultured bacterium. RNAcentral's name for it is "partial 16S ribosomal RNA". It matches the Rfam family "Bacterial small subunit ribosomal RNA", at positions 354 to 796 of the family's 1533-position model. The record is from RNAcentral.